RNAcentral lists this ribosomal RNA (238 nucleotides) under uncultured bacterium. RNAcentral describes it as "partial 16S ribosomal RNA". It matches the Rfam family "Bacterial small subunit ribosomal RNA", at positions 81 to 334 of the family's 1533-position model. The record is from RNAcentral.
AGUUUUUAACUCAAGUGGCGGACGGGUGAGUAACACGUAAGAAUUUGCCUUUAGGAGGGGGAUAACAACUGGAAACGGUUGCUAAUACCCCAUAUGCUUUCGAGUAAAAUGGAUUUUUCCGCCUAAAGAGAAGCUUGCGGCUGAUUAGCUUGUUGGUGAGGUAAUGGCUUACCAAGGCGACGAUCAGUAUCUGGUUUGAGAGGACGAUCAGACACACUGGAACUGAGACACGGUCCAG